UAUCAUUAACGUUAUACGGGCCUGGCACCCUCUAUGGGUAAUUGGCCUCAUUUAAGAAGGACUUAAAUCGUUAAAAUCUCAUACUAGAUUGAAGACGUUCCAUACACUGCAUCCUCACAUUUGCCAUAAAAACAAAGUGA
Molecule: ribosomal RNA, 140 nt
Filed under: Stegana flavimana
Lineage: Eukaryota; Metazoa; Arthropoda; Insecta; Diptera; Drosophilidae
Description: partial 28S ribosomal RNA
Source: RNAcentral